This 981-nucleotide ribosomal RNA is filed under the name Ligilactobacillus salivarius. RNAcentral describes it as "bacterial SSU rRNA". It matches the Rfam family "Bacterial small subunit ribosomal RNA", at positions 1 to 949 of the family's 1533-position model. The record is from RNAcentral. Lineage: Bacteria; Bacillati; Bacillota; Bacilli; Lactobacillales; Lactobacillaceae.
UUAAAAUGAGAGUUUGAUCCUGGCUCAGGACGAACGCUGGCGGCGUGCCUAAUACAUGCAAGUCGAACGAAACUUUCUUACACCGAAUGCUUGCAUUCACCGUAAGAAGUUGAGUGGCGGACGGGUGAGUAACACGUGGGUAACCUGCCUAAAAGAAGGGGAUAACACUUGGAAACAGGUGCUAAUACCGUAUAUCUCUAAAGAUCGCAUGAUCUUUAGAUGAAAGAUGGUUCUGCUAUCGCUUUUAGAUGGACCCGCGGCGUAUUAACUAGUUGGUGGGGUAACGGCCUACCAAGGUGAUGAUACGUAGCCGAACUGAGAGGUUGAUCGGCCACAUUGGGACUGAGACACGGCCCAAACUCCUACGGGAGGCAGCAGUAGGGAAUCUUCCACAAUGGACGCAAGUCUGAUGGAGCAACGCCGCGUGAGUGAAGAAGGUCUUCGGAUCGUAAAACUCUGUUGUUAGAGAAGAACACGAGUGAGAGUAACUGUUCAUUCGAUGACGGUAUCUAACCAGCAAGUCACGGCUAACUACGUGCCAGCAGCCGCGGUAAUACGUAGGUGGCAAGCGUUGUCCGGAUUUAUUGGGCGUAAAGGGAACGCAGGCGGUCUUUUAAGUCUGAUGUGAAAGCCUUCGGCUUAACCGGAGUAGUGCAUUGGAAACUGGAAGACUUGAGUGCAGAAGAGGAGAGUGGAACUCCAUGUGUAGCGGUGAAAUGCGUAGAUAUAUGGAAGAACACCAGUGGCGAAAGCGGCUCUCUGGUCUGUAACUGACGCUGAGGUUCGAAAGCGUGGGUAGCAAACAGGAUUAGAUACCCUGGUAGUCCACGCCGUAAACGAUGAAUGCUAGGUGUUGGAGGGUUUCCGCCCUUCAGUGCCGCAGCUAACGCAAUAAGCAUUCCGCCUGGGGAGUACGACCGCAAGGUUGAAACUCAAAGGAAUUGACGGGGGCCCGCACAAGCGGUGGAGCAUGUGGUUUAA